Regulatory RNA element from Lysobacter arseniciresistens ZS79, 121 nucleotides. It matches the Rfam family "SAM riboswitch aptamer (S box leader)". From Rfam's summary of the family: The SAM riboswitch is found upstream of a number of genes which code for proteins involved in methionine or cysteine biosynthesis in Gram-positive bacteria. The SAM riboswitch acts at the level of transcription termination control. The predicted structure consists of a complex stem-loop region followed by a single stem loop terminator region. Lineage: Bacteria; Pseudomonadati; Pseudomonadota; Gammaproteobacteria; Lysobacterales; Lysobacteraceae. The record is from Rfam.
CAUCCAUCGAGACCGGCUGAGGGACAGGCCCUUUGAAGCCGGGGCAACCCAGCGGCGUGCAAGCGUCGCGAAGGUGCCAAUUCCUGCGGACGCCGGCGUGCCGGUCUCCGGAAGAUGGUUG